This 11258-nucleotide long non-coding RNA is filed under the name Setaria italica (foxtail millet). RNAcentral describes it as "long non-coding RNA (SITA_LNC005427)". Lineage: Eukaryota; Viridiplantae; Streptophyta; Magnoliopsida; Poales; Poaceae. The record is from RNAcentral.
AAAAUAUUAAGAUGUAGUUUGAGUCAUCAAAUGAAUGGCAAGUUAUGCAUACAAGGUGUUCAAAGAUGUCAUGUUACUAAUGAAUGCCAGUGAAGAACUUCCAUUUACUAUGUCACCUAUUCGUCUGCACCACAGAAAUAAAUAGUUCAUUCUUCUGUUCUGCAACCUUAAUAUUUGACAAUGAUACUUAUCUACUCCCGCCAUCAGUAGUCACUUACAAGCUUGUCAGUUGGACAAGAUUAGAAAGAGUGGUUGGAAGUGGACCUUGAAAUGAAUUGCCUUGAAACCGUCUGCAAAAUUAUAGUUGUUGUUACUAGUGAAGAAAGAAGGAAGAUCCUGCUGGUACAAGGGUCACUUUCUUGGUAAAAAAAGUAAAUAGAUUUAUGCAGAUAGAAAUAUGAUCUGUUCCAUACAAAAAAUAAUUAUUAGAAAAAUCAAUUCAAUAUUUUUAACACUAGUAUUUUUUUAAUGGAACAGGAGGGGUUAGGACCCCUACUGGUUAUAUAUUCAGGAAAAAGAGUAUUUUACAGAGCAAUAGGAGAAAAAGGAAAAUUACAACAGAUUGUCAAGCCAUUCUGUGAUUCUAGGGAAAGACUUAUUUUUUGCUCGAUGGAUAACCAUAUCAAAUUCAUACUUGAAAAUGUUUCUGCAACUCUCAACUGAAACUUGUUGUUGCCUGGAGAUUGCAUUGUUCCUUGUUGUCCAGAAUAUGUGGAACAGCACCGCAUUAUCAUGAAUAGUGAAAAAAUGUAAUAUUUACUAAAAUGAUGAAACCACCUCACAUCUGACCUUAAGUGGAUUAUUUUAAUAGGCCACUGAAUGGAGAUUUAGCAGAGUAAAAACUACACUUAGCUAAUACCAUCUCAUUUAUGAGCACAAUGAGCCAGGGUUCAAAAUGAAUUUCAUACUUGAGAACUGUUGCAAACUGUACACAAUGUCUUUAAAGAAAUUAUCAUCACCAUCUGAAAAGUAUAAGUUGUAAAUCUUACAGUUCUAAUAAAUUACUGAAGCUCCCAAUGUAAUCUGGUAUUUGCCCAGUAAAAUCAUUAUCUGAUGCCCACCUAAUCACAAAUAAGAAAAACACAUAAGGUUAAAUGAAUGAUACUGUUGACAAAACAUCUUUUAUAGGCAUACAAUAUUUUCAUGCUUGUAAGCUUAGAAAAUGAUGGUGGUAAUGGACCACUUAAGCCAGAGCUGUCAAUAUAUCUGCAAGACAGAAAUAAAAGAAUAAGAAUGUUAACAUGGUUUGGCAGAAGAAAAAGGUAAGGACUACAGGGUGCCCAAAAUUAAUCAAAAUACGCACAGUUGCUCAAGUUUAACCAUGUUACCCAGUUCGGGAGGAAGGGAUCCAUUUAAGUUGUUCAUGCUUAUGCCCCUGAAAUCCCAGAAAAAAAUAUCAGGUUAGUAGCAAAAGAUUUGUGACAGGAAACUUUCUUAUCUUUCGAAGGAUGAAUACAUUUCUCGACAGAGGUCAACUAGUAGAAGGAAUGAAGGUGUGUUUUUUCUAUAAGCUUGAUGUCGAUAGCAUGUAUUCUCAACUUAAACUGUUCUUUAUUUGUUGAUUCUUACACAUUUAAAUAAAUUUAUAGGUACGUGUACAAAGCCAAGUCGAGAUUUAUAAAACUUUGUAGUUUGGACAUUAGCAAAGAUUUCUACUGAAAUAGGGUCAUGAAACAGAGAAGGUAAAUUUCUUACAGCGAUAUAAGAUUCACAAGCUUCCCAAGCUCCUUUGGAACAGAUCCAGAUAAUGCAUUAAUUGCAAGACUCCUUUUAUGUUCAAGGGAGAUAAUUUAAGUUUCAAUGUUACCCAAAACAUGUGAUGUAGUAAUGUUAGGUUCUAAAUCUCACAUGUAUUGCAAAGCAGUCAGUUCCCCAAGGAACGAUGGUACAGGCCCUGUUAAGUAAUUUUGCAUUAAGUUCCUGAAAAAAACGUCAGAUCAGAUCAGAUGUAAACGAAAAAGGAUGGCUCUCAGUAGGUAUUAUAUUUAAAGAAAUUUUGAGCUUGAUGCGGGAGGCUACUACAAAGCAAUCCGCUGCUAUGAUAAUAUGAUAUGCUGUGGAACUGCGGAAAAUGACAAAGUCCACCGAUAAAUUGCGACUAAACAAUCUUCAUAUACACUUGGGAUACUUUGGCUCACUGACGAUUUCAAGAAAGUUGAGAAUUCAUACAAAUUGGUCAAGUGCGUGAGGUUCCUCAGCUCUUCUGGUAUAGGACCUACCAGAUUCAAUGCGUACAUUUUCCUGCAGUAAUAACAGUGAAGCACCCAUCAGCUCACACCAUCUCAAUUUAGCCUUCAUGGAUGUUCGUCAUCAGACAAACACCACUAGGUUAUGGAGCGCCGUCAAAUAACCGCACAAGCAAUAGUUGCAGAGAUAAGGACGAUGCACUAGCUUGCCACACUCUGAGUGCACGAACUGCCACCUCAGGUGGGCAAAUUAGAUCAUCCAGCAACUAAUGGUGGGCGUACGGAUAGGAAGCGUGAGACACUUACAGCUUGGUGAUGUGGCAGACGGUGUUGUUCUGGCCGGAGCACUUGCACUGGAUGGCCGGGUUGAAGUUCAUGUCUGAGUCGAUGUUGGUGUCGUCCGUGGCGGCGCCGGUGCAGGGGUCGCCGCUGAUGUUCCAUGCCGAAGACGCCGUCUGGCCGAGCUUGUCGAACACCGCAUUCACCGCCGCCGCUGCAAAACCGAAAACGGGUUCAUACUUCACACACAUCCCAAAGAAGCAAUCACCGACUAACCUUUACCGACCACAGAGAAUAUAUAAAAUAACAGAUCACCCUCAGGCACUCAACGCGAACUCUAGGCAAAAGUGGUGAAUCUAGUAGUGUACAGUGAUAGCUAGUCUUAUAAUACAUUAAAAGCAUUAUAAGUACCCUAAAAGCUUGGUGACAUAGUAACUUUUUUUUUUCUUUUUUAAUAAAAAAUAUAUAUCUAGUAGGAGUCUUAGCCCCACCUGUUCCUUAAAAAAAAAUACCAAGACUCUAGCUGUCCUACCUCGGGGCUUUCUUAUUUUUUAAAAAAAUAAAGGCAACGGGUAAUAAUACGUUUGGUUCCACGGACUAAAGUUUAGUCCCUAUCACAUCAAAUGUUUAGAUACUAAUUAGGAGUUAAGCUAAUUAUAAAACUAAUUGCACAGAUGAAGGCUAAUUCGCGAGACGAAUGUAUUAAGCCUAUGUCAAAUCAUGGACUAAUUAGGCUUAAUAGAUUCGUCUCGCGAAUUAGCCUCCAUUUGUGCAAUUGGUUUUGUAAUUACUCCUAAUUAGUAUCUAAACAUUCAAUAUGACAGGAACUAAACUUUAGUUUGUGACAAUGAAUACGACAACUAGCAAGUAACUACCACGACAAGCAGCCAUAAGGUGGUUGAAGCUGCACAACAAGUCAACAACUAGCUCUCUAAAGAAGGUUGAUUUUUAGGGCAGUCCCAAACCAUAGUUUCUAUGGGUAGUUUCUAUGUUGACCUAUCACCAAGAUGCCACUUGUAGAUCUAAUCUCCCCAACCCAUAGUUUCUAUGGGUAGUUUCUAUGUAGAGCAAAAUUUCAUGAUUUCACGCAAGCACCACAAGCAAAGCUCGGUCAGCUGUCGCAAGCAACCGCGUAGCCUUCAUGCUGCCACAGUCCGAGCCAUUGAAACAAAAUAAUUCUUUCACAGCUGCUAUAAGAUCGAUCGACCUGGAAAGCGCCGCCAAGAGACGAUGCAGGCCAAAAUGCAGGAGCGAGAUGAGUGCUGGUUCGAUCAGUGCCUGGACAAAGUGCCAAAGUGGCGCUUGAAGCAACGGACGGAGAACUGGCGCCUGCAGAAGCAACUGCGGUAGCACCAACAACACGUCUGGAACUUGAAGAGGGCUUCCUCGAUUUCUUUUGAUGUACGCCUUUCUUCUCCAAUCGAUCCUUAGAAGCGGCGCGUGUGGAAUUGCUGGCGGAGGCUUGGUGCGCGGCCGCGCACGGGGGUGGCCAGCGGCGUGAGGCGGACACAGGCGCCGGAAAUUGGCACGCGCGAGCGAGGGAGGGGAUGGCCGCGGCGCGCGCGUGAGGGAGGGUCGCGACGCGGCAGUAGCAGGCGCGCACGGAGCCUGGGGUUGGGUCGCGGCGCACAGCGGAUCGGGAAGAUGGGCAAGAAAACGAGGAAGGAAACGAUAACGCUGGCACAACGCGAUUACGGCGGUAUCUACGCACUUUGGUGCGCGAGCCGACUCGGUUUCUCACAUGAGAAAAACGAUUUCUUGCCCUUUCUUCGUUAAAUCACCUGCCACAUCGUUAGAUCGCUGAUAUGGUACUGUAUUGAAUGAUAUAGAAAUUGGAGGGUUGGGAGUGCCCUUAAUAUUUUCUCGCUUGGAUCCCAAUUUCACCUCGUGGGCUUGCUCUGUUCGAUGUUUCCUCACGUGGGACUAGCGUUGAACCACAAGAGUUUCUGACUUAUUCGUGGGCAAAACAUGGAUGAGGUCAAAAGGCGAAAAACCAUAAUAUCAUACCAUUAAACGCGCCCCUGUUGCCCUUCUACCCGAAACAUUUGGAACGAGAUAGUUUCUUGGACGAAUCGGGCAGAUGAUUCUCUGGAACAGAUCAGGGAUUGUACAGAUCAGGGAGAUGAAAUUCCAACAGCAAAGGUGGCCAUGAUGCCGGUAAGAAUUCGACUCGAUCGAGCUGAUUUUUCAAGAACUUACUUGCAGGGGAUAUUAUCUUAAGAACGUGAGGACAUUGCUGACAGCUAGCAACCUCAAACUGAGAGGCGCCUCCCAGGAAAAGAAACAAAGCAAAAGGCAAGAACAAACUUAAUUACAAAUAUACAAUCGAGCUCAUCAGAUAGAACACCUCGAAAAUUAUCUUUUUAUCGCAGGAGCGCUGAAUAGGACUUACCUUCAGUUGGAUCUGUCCUUGUUGGUGGUGCUUGCUGAGCUUUGGCCGACGCAGCUAGGAGAAGCAGCGCGGAGAGCACGUAGCCACGGAGGGAAGAACUCCGUGUUAACCUCAUCUCCCUCUUCCUAACUGCUCUCGCUUAGCUUGGCCGUGGCCCUUCCGAGGAAAGCAAUCUUGUUCCGUGUCCAAAAAAUCUGCUGAUUUCAUCAUCAUAGAAGGAAAGCAAAGCAAAUAAAGCAGCAGUCAAAGGCACACGACUGAUUGGGGAUACGCGGUCGUUUGGCAACAUUAGUACUGAAGACGACUGCAUGACUGACUGACGUUCUCAAGCUUUGGAUUCAUCCACUCGAACCAUUCAAGACUGUCAUGGUCUAGAUAAUUAAGGCGAUUUCCCAGGAUGGGAUGUUUGCUAUGGACAGAAGCUGGAACAAUUCAACGAAGUAAUAAUAAAGGCCAACCACUUCCGAUACUGACACAUAUACAUCUCAGAGUUCUAACUUUCGCCGUGCGGCUGCUUUUGGUCUGAAGUGUCAACUACUAGUUCGCACAUGCAUAAUCAGUCCAGUUUACACCACGGGAAAUCAAUUUCAUGAAGAUGAAAAAACUACUAGGUACUUCUUCCGUUUCAAAAUGUUCGGUUUUUAAACUUUUUAGAUACAUAAAUUUUGCUAUGCACCUAAAUAAUUGAGGUAAAAAUGAUUGUUAAGUAGCAAUGGGUACUUCCACCACGUACUUUUUUAAAAAAAAUUACACUGUUGAUCCAAGUAAUGUAAUUAAAAAAUAAAUUAAAUUAGUACCGGUCCCACUGUUUUUGUACUUGGUCUCCACCUAUUUGGUACUUCUUGUUACUUUUCUCUAGAUACCUCUAGGUACUUUCUACCUUUCCACCGCACGAUUUUUCUGGAUGGACGGCUCUUAUUUUUUCCAAUUAUUGAAAAUAUUUUCAUCAACAAAACCAAAACGACCUACAUUUUGAAAUAAAGGGAGUAACUAAUAGUCUAAUACCUUAGCAUUGACAAGGGCUUGUUCAACGAGAGUGGAACGACAUAGACACAAUCUCCUUGCAUUUAUCGAAAAUUUAGCAUUUUUUCCCUUCUGUUCUGCUGAAGAAUUUGGCCUAAUCCUAUGAACCCAGGCAAGUGCCUACGGAGAGAAUUUGAUGCCAGGUCCGCCAUUGGAUCAAAGUAGGCACGGCAAUGGAAUAAUGGAUAAUAACCGUCAUAUGCAGUGAUAUAAGGCUUAUAAUCCACUAUGCAAAACUAACAAUCAGGGCACCAACUGUGAAGUGUGUAUCUACACACAACGUAUUCCGUGGAUAUGGCUGCUAGGGGGGCGAGCCUUGGGUGCGAAAGAGGGCCAUUUGGAUGGUGCACCUAACGAAUCUUACACACAUCCAAAUCUUCAAAGUGCAUCCACACCAAAUAAUAUAAUCCGUUGCUUGACAGAAGCUUAUUUGAAUCUGAUGAUCAUUGACCAUCAUCACCGGCCUUCCUCGAUGAGGGAGCUCAGGUACGACGAUGUCGAUGCCGACAUGCCGACCACCUCCCUCUUGCUCGAGCUCGCCUGCCACUCGGUGACGUAGCUGGGCUUCGUGACUGCCUCUGGCACUUCGAUGUCUUCUGUGAGCAUGGACACCACCUUUGACAUGGAUGGCCGCUGCCGAGGUGAGCUCUGGAUGCAGAGGAGGCCGACGCGGAUGGCACGGAGAACCUCGUCGCUGACGAAUUCCAUGAGACUCGGGUCCACGACGUCGAGAGGACGGCCUUCCUCGUACAAUUGCCAGACCUGAAAGCGUAGGGCUCAUGCAUGUAGGAGAACUUCACUGUUGUAGGAAUGCAACAAACUAUUUUUUUUCAUAUGAUUCCAAAUUCUAAGAUCCACAUAAUGCUGCCAUUUUAAAAUUUAACACGCUGUGUCAGCUGCUUAGAUGCUAACAAGGUCUUAUAAGUGACACCAUAUGCAUGACUAGCAAUUUCUACGAAAAAUGUAUUUGUCUCAAAUAAAUAGCAUUUUUAUGUUGAAUUUAGUAUAUGAACAACUUUUAAAUUUUUAUGUUGUUAAUCUAAAUAAUUCUUCAUGUAGUGCUGCGCAAAGCUAAAACUGCUGCACAUUUUAGAAGAGGGACACUGGAGCAUAGAUCUUUAGAUCAAUAACUUAUAUUCUGUGUCCGAGGGAGUAACAAAACUUUCCCUCUUCUAAACAAGUGCCUAUCAACAACUAGCAUUCUGUACAUAGCUUAUUUAUUUGACUGCAUCUCUUUUUAUAUAAUUCAAUGAUGUCAAAAUUAUGGUUAAGUUUUUGAAUAAAAAAUCUUAUGAACGCACAUGAGCUUUAAUUUUUAUGUUAUAUAAGUGCCUAUCAUAUAUAUAUAUAUUCCCAGUUACCACAUGAAAAACUGCAAUUUGACCUGGGUCUAAAUUUUGUAGUGACUUUACCCAUUCUAAAAGAUAGGCGCUGUCUUCGUCAAGCCUAUCAUCAUAGUUUGGCCUUCCAGCUAUUGUUUCCAAUAUGACCACGCCAAAAGCAAAUACAUCAACUUUCUCCGUUACAUGACCUCUCAUGGCGUACUCAGGUGCUAGAUAACCACUUGAAAGAAGAGCAGAAAAAUAAUGUUAUUAGCUCACAGAUUAAUCAAACUAAAGUAUAAACUUUCUGCAAUUGUAUAAAGGUGCACUCCAGUGUGCAAGAUAACCUCUCAUUCCCUACUUACUAUAAAUGGGGCAAGAUGCAAAUGCGCUUACAAUGUACCGGCAACUUUUGUGCUGACAUGCGUCUUCUUGUCAUCAUAAAGUUUAGCGAGUCCAAAAUCUGAGAUCUUAGGGUUGAAAUUGGUGUCAAGUAAGAUAUUACUGGCCUUUAUAUCCCUAUGCACAACACGGAUGCUAGACUCUUCGUGCAAAUAAGCUAGACCUCUUGUAAUGCCUAAGCAUAUCCCAAAGCGUGUAAGCCAGUCUAGGUUCUUUCUCCCACUUCCUGCAAAUGAAUGUUUAAGUUAUACGAUGAACUCCUGGAGGGCCGGAGUUAUAUACAGUUGCAUCAAAUUGAAUGAACCUGUACCAAACAAUGCUUUAUCAAGACUUCCAUUCUCUAAGUACUCGUAAACCAGCAGUGGAUUUUCGCCCUCAAGGCAGCAACCAUACAACUUCACGAGAUUCCGAUGUUGCACUUGGGAAAUAGUUUCUAUUUCAGCUAUGAAUUGCUUCUUCCCUUGACGAGAUGUUUCAGAUAGCUGCUUUACUGCUACCAUGCUUCCAUCGGUCAGUUUACCCUGCGAAAAUGUGGCAUUUUUUAAGAAUGUAAGUUUCAGACACCUCAUUAUCACGCAUAUAAUGGACAAAAUAAAGAGACUGCCAAGCUAGCCAUGUGGGGCAACUAUAAAAGGAACUAGUAGAGAGCAACAAAAGGGAAAACCAAUGGGGAAUGUGUGUGUAGAUUGAUAUUACUAAAAGAAUAGGUGAAGCAUUGCCCAGAAGUAGAGGUUUAUUAGUCAAUUUGCAUACAGAAAAAGAGCUCUGGUGUGCACUACUUAUGUACGUGGAAACUUAAUUUCAGAGGCAAAUUAAAAUUCCAUAGCAAAUUUGCAUCCAUGUCACCAUGUGUAGUACAGAUGAACUAACCUUAUAAACUGCCCCGUAUCCUCCUUCACCAAGAAGGUUAGUGGAAUUAAAAUUUUCACUAGCGGUCCUUAGUUCACCAUAACUGUAACUAAAUACAUUUGGUCUUCCAACACAACUGUACAGCUCUGCAAGAAUCACAAGAGUUAAGUUUAUGAGCACAACCUCUUUGUCUGGUUUAAGAAUACACUGUGAACCUGUCAUAUCAUGUACCUCGUUUGUCCAAUGACAAUUUUCUUCUUUUCUGCCUCAACACAUAGAGUCCAGAGAGCACUAAUAGUCCUAAAACUGCUGCACCAACCCCAACCCCAACAGCGACACCUGUAUUGCUAGUACGUUUCGUCUGGGCAGCAUGGGCAGCAUUACGCACUGUAGGUUCGAAAUCUGUCCAAAAGUCCACUUGUUAGAACAAAUGCAAUCUUGGAUUUGGAUCCUAUGUUAAGUGUUUAUGAAUUUUCACUUUUUAAAAGUACUUGAGAAUUCAGCACCGGUUCAGAGUGGAUCUGUAAUUCUGUAUCACUAUUAUACAUGUCAGAGUGUUGGUUCAGUCAUCAGCAUUCUCCUAAUGGGAACUAAGUUGACCCCGCGAAAAUUAUCUAAACAGUAUAGAAACGUUGGUUUAUAGACAACGGGAGUACUUGGAGUUGCACUCAAAGCAGAGAGCGAAGGCCCAUAGUAGCCUUGACUAGGGAUGCAACAAGUGCCCUUGCCGGCCCAGAAAAGAUGAAUCUCAAGGAAGUUUCUGGUGACAGGAACAGUAUACUUCCUCGUGACAGCAGUGUAAGAUUUUCCGGCUGCUGCCUUUCUUAUGUCAAAGUUCUGCUCUUUACGCUCACCCUGUACCAAAAGCAAGAAAAAAAACAUUAGAAAAUCUCAAUCAGCCCAUAAGCUAAAAUCUCAAGUAAGUGUAAGUUAUCAGCAUGACUGGAACCUACCUGAAUAUAGAUAUCGAAAACCCUUUUACCUAAACUCUUCCAAGUCUGCAUGUCUUCGAAGUCAAACUCUGCAAAUUGAAGUGUGACUGUAUAAUUUCCAUUCUCAAGUCCAAUGCCAUAGUAGCGUAAUGAUGAUGGAGACAUCCUUGCUGUCUGGAACAGUUCUGAAUCUAGAGUUUUCAGAAACUGGCGUGAGCUGUUGAUUAUGUAACUAUUAUUUGGUGCCUCCAUGAACCUCCCAACAUUGCUAACACCCCACGUUGGUGCUCCUGUAACAUAAUAGGAAGCAGGUCCCAGAUCGGCGUUGUCAGGCUGAUACAUGGAAUUAUCUGAGACUGACAUAGAUCUCUGGCUCCCACAGUCCACAGCAAAGGAGGAAGCUGCAAGCAUGUUAAAUUAUUUAAUACUGAUGUUAUUUAGCAUAUCCUUAAAGUGCAAAAGUGGAAGCUCACAUUGUGGAGAGCCAAGAAAGCAGGGUGUGUCUCGCUGAAGGCACCCUAGCCCCGAAGGUAAGGCACUGAAGAUGUCAAACAUUGUCAAUUUGAAUCCAAAAUAUGAGCUGAGGCCUGAGAGAACAUAAAAAUUGUGCUUGAAGACUUUAAUGACCUAUUUGAAUACAAACUGACCUGUUAUUGGAGUCGUCGAUUACGAAAUUGUUCGCCACCAAAUUCCUAUGUAGAAUGAAACAUGUAAAAAAGAGUUAGAAGGCACUAUUGCAGAGAAUCAAGAGAAACCAAAGCAGGGACAAAAUUGAUUCAGUUUUUUAAGAUAAGCGAUAAGGUAAAGUACACAUCUGCUUGUUCAAAGAUUCUGAAUCAUAGAUGACGUCAAAUGCAAAAAGAAAAGAAAAAAAGAAAAAAUAAAUAUGGUCUAGGUGCAGCAAAAGCAGCCUUUUAGAUGUAGUUGAUAUUAAAAAAUGCUAGUUUAAUACAUGUGUAUGAUAUUGGAUUAUCUUUAAAAUAAUAGUAAUAGGGCUGAAUUUUCGGUCAGUCAAUCAAGCUUGCAAAACUCAGCACUUACAAUGUCAAAUUCGGACUAACCCAGGAGGGAAAGUUUCCUGAUAGCUGGUUGUAGGAAAAGUCUCUACACAAAACAAAGCGUGUAAAUGUUAUAGAUAAACGCCUUCCUGGUUUUACUUCACAAAUGAAAGUGGACAAACAUACAAGUUUUUAAGAGAAGUUCCUAUAGAACUUGGAAGGCUUCAUGAAAGACUAUUAUUCCCGAGAAACCUGGGCAGACCAAAUUUGCGCAUUAGCAAGAUUGAUGAUCAUUGUCAUCAGAACCUAGAAAUAAGUAUCAGAAGGCAAGAUAAACCAUACAAGAAGCUGAGUGAAUUCAGAUUCAGCAGAGCUUGCGGUACUAGGCCAGUAAUAUUGUUAAAACUCAAAUCCCUGUAACAGUAGAACAAAUGAGACUAGGAGAGAAAGGGGUCAUCAAACAAUGCAUAAUCCACAGCAGUUCAUUAAAGCAUCUAGCAAAACAUGCAGUUGACUGGAGUUUACGAAGAAACAAAAUGUCUUACAGUAGGGUUAAUGUUGCAAACUGUGAAAAGUUUACUGAUGCCAGGUUAUCAGAUAUCCUGCAGUUCCUCAAAACUCUGCAAUGAAACAUGUCAAGAGUUUUCGGAUUUAACAAUUUGGUUGCACUACAGCAAAUAUUAAGAUGUAGUUUUGAGUCAUCAAGUGAAUGACAAGUUAUGCAUACAAGAUGUUCAAAGAUGUCAUGUUACUGAUGAAUGCCAGUGAAGAACUCCCAUUUACUAUGUCACCUAUUCGUCUGAACCACAGAAGUAGAUAAUUAAUUCUUCUGUUCUGCAACCUUAAUACUUGACAAUGAUACUUAUCUACUCCCG